CUGGGGCCUCUUCUCUGAGGGAAGUGAAAGGAGGGAGUUUGCUGUGGAGCCCUGUUUCUGUGGGAUCCCUGAUGUGCACAGUGAAUUUGCUGUGAAAGCAAACCAAGUCUUUUUCAGGUCUAAAAAUCUGUGGAGUUUAUGACAUCCUUCUCACUUUGAGCCAUACUCUGCACUUCUGGCCACAGCUCCUUCAAGCUGUGGAGCAAUGUAUCAGAGGGGCCAUAGCUGCAGGGAUCAAUUUCGGGAGCAUAUUUUAUUGUUACUGAACUAAAUCUUUGGGAAUGGGAGCUUCAGUGCAGGCAACAUUUCUUAAUGGCCACCCAGCAUGCCCAAAAGAAGCCAUUUUAUGUCCAUUGCCUCCCAGGACCUUGUCUGAAGAAGGACAAGGGAAGAUGCAGAGACUACGAUGCUCUGAGCAAAGAGGCGAGACACUGCUCAUCCAGAUCAUACUUGGAGUUUGUGGUUCUGACUUUCUGGAGUGCUUGCUGUGAAACUCACUUUGCAUGGGGUGAUAAAUUUCCCACUGACUUUGCAGUGGUUGUUCUGAAAAGUAUGUCUCAUGCAAACAGAAAUGUAGUGCAAAUCUUCCGUUCUUGAACUGGUGGCUGCAACCCUGCUCCGGAGCUGAUCAUUCCCUCUACAGAACCAGCUGCAAUGCUAGCAGUGCAAGUGCCUAUAUAAUAUGCCUCUCUUAAACAGUUAUGGCUUUCCUCUCUUUUAUCCAACCUCUUCUUUUCCUUGAGAACAUAUUUCACCCAUGUUGGCAAUGCUAGUAACUCUGAAGGGGACAUGUUCUUUUAUAUUUCAGAAGCUUUCACAUUGUGCAGAUACUGAAGAGUCCUGAAGCUAUAAAAGUUAUAUAUAAGGGAAAUUCUGGUAACAUUAUUAAUGCCUGUCAUUUUCAAGAUAAAAGCAUUUCCCCAGUCU
Molecule: long non-coding RNA, 927 nt
Organism: Pezoporus occidentalis (night parrot)
Lineage: Eukaryota; Metazoa; Chordata; Aves; Psittaciformes; Psittacidae
Exons: 3
Source: RefSeq, a predicted model, not a curated record